UACAUGGGGUGCAAACGUUGCUCGGAAUUAUUGGGCGUAAAGCGCACGUAGGCGGCAUUGCAAGUCGGAUGUGAAAUUCCUCGGCUUAACCAAGGAAGUGCAUCCGAAACUGCAGUGCUUGAGUACUUAAGAGGAUCGCGGAAUUCCCGGUGUAGAGGUGAAAUGCGUAGAUAUCAGGAGGAACAUCGGUGGUGUAGACGGCUUUCUGGACCGUAACUGACGCUGAGACACGAAAGCGUGGGUAGCAAACAGG
This 253-nucleotide ribosomal RNA is filed under the name uncultured bacterium. RNAcentral's name for it is "partial 16S ribosomal RNA". It matches the Rfam family "Bacterial small subunit ribosomal RNA", at positions 524 to 776 of the family's 1533-position model. The record is from RNAcentral.